This 82-nucleotide transfer RNA is filed under the name Methanosarcinales archaeon. Its description in RNAcentral is "tRNA-Leu". It matches the Rfam family "tRNA". Rfam says of the family: Transfer RNA (tRNA) molecules are approximately 80 nucleotides in length. Their secondary structure includes four short double-helical elements and three loops (D, anti-codon, and T loops). The record is from RNAcentral. Lineage: Archaea; Methanobacteriati; Methanobacteriota; Methanomicrobia; Methanosarcinales. RNAcentral also lists the same sequence under 1 other name.
GCGGGAGUUGCCGAGUGGUAAAGGCGCAGGGUUUAGGUCCCUGUCCCAUAGGGGUUCGCAGGUUCGAAUCCUGCCUCCCGCA